UAAUUAUUUUUUAUAUAUUAUAUAAAUUUUACAUUUAUACGCAAUUACGCCGUAUUAUAAAAACUUAUAUUUAUUUAUAUUUUUUUUUUAACGUUUGGGCGGUUGCUGGUAAAUAAUUAUAAAUAAUUUAAAAAUGCGUGGUUAUCCAUUUAUUUAAAAUUUGGGUAAAUAAUUUAAAUUUAAAUUUUACGCGAAAUAAUUUAUUAUGCAAUUAAACGGCCGUUUUCGCCGUUUCCGGCCACAAAUUAAUGGGAAAAUGCGCACCGAAUAAUAUUACCAAAAUUUUGGUUUAUAUUUUUUAAUUUGUUCGUUUAAUUUUCCCGUUAAAUUCGUAUAUAUUCGCAAAAUUAAAUAUUAUUUGAAUUUCCUUUUUUUUACCCAAAUUUCGUCUUUUUUUAAGUUUUGGAAUUUAUUUAAUAUUAUUACCGGAUUUAUAUCGUUCCGCAUUUUGUAAAUGGUGCAAUCGUAUUAUUUCCAAACCCAUUUUUCGAAAUUUGUAAUAAUAUUUAAAAAUUUAGGUCCUAAACGGGAUUAUAUAGGGAUAAUAUAAAUUAAACCGCAAAAAUUAUUUUUAAUUAUUAAUAGGUAUUUUAUUCCGUUAUAUUUUUCGGAAUAAUGCAUAUAAUUUUAAAAUAUUUCCCAAAAUAGUCGAUAAAAACGAUUUUCAGGGGUUUGCCGUAAAAUUAUUUUUUUUUGCGUAUAUUUGUGCGCAAUUUUUACAAAUUAUGCGGAUAUCGCUUAUAAUUUUUAUAUUUUUUGCGUUUUAUAUUAACCGGCCCAGCGUUUAUUAUCCCAAAUAACCAAUUUAUAAAUACCAGGUGCGCGUUAUUUUUAUUUUUGGUUUAAAAAUUUGUAAUAUUAAUUGGAAACCUCCUUUUUACCGUCUUAUUAUAUUACGUAUAACCGUUAUAAUAAUAAUUCCCGUUUUAAAAAAUAAAAUUGGAAUUGGAAAAAUAAAAUAUUGUACAAUAUUAAUUUAUAUUUAAAAAACAAAAAAUUUUUUUCAUUUUGCCAACUCUAAAAUUAAUAUAUUUGCGUAAAUUGGCCCGUAUUUAAAAAAAAGAAAAUUAAUUACAAAACCACAAUCCGUAUUUACUAAUUAAUAUUUCGAAUAUAAUAUUAACGUGGAAUUUUGGAAUUAAUGCGAUUUUUUCCAAAAUUAAAUCCCUGCUAUUUAAUAGGUUAUUUAAAACUUUGCGGCCAUAUUUUUGGAUUUGCAGCGUGGAUGCACCGGUUGCGAUUAAAUUAUUAAUAUUUGUUAAAUAAAACGUCCUUUCGUCGAUUAAUAAUAUUAAAUUAAUAACGUAUAUCGCGUUCCCAUUAUGGAUAAUAAUAUUAUCGGUAAAAGGGUGGGUAUUGUUUUUAAUUGCAAAUAUACCGAUUAUUGUUUCCGGUAUUUUAAUUAUAUUUUGUGGUAUAACAGUAUAAUUUAUAAAUUUGUUGGGGAUUUGUUUAAAAAAAAUUUAUAUCCCUAAAUUUCUUUUUACAAAUUAAAAAUCCCCGUUGGAAUCUUUUGUAAAAAAGUUUUUGCGUACCAAAUUUUAUUAAAAUUGUUUAUAAUUUUUGGAUUUAAAUAAUUUUUGUAAAAUUGUAUUUUUUUCGUCGGAAUUUAUAUUAAAUUUCUUCGAUUUUUUUUAGUUUUUUGUAUUUAUUAAAACCCAAUGAAAUUUAUCGCAAUUUUUGGGUUCCCCUCAAUAUUUUUUACCGUCGGUAUUUCUAAAUAAAUAUUAUAAUGUAUUUUUAUAAUAAUUUGCUUUGGUUUAAAUUGUUUUCGUUGGAAUUUCUUUGCGAAUUAU
RNAcentral lists this small RNA (1796 nucleotides) under Pyricularia oryzae. RNAcentral describes it as "Magnaporthe oryzae sRNA M_BR32_EuGene_00098711". The record is from RNAcentral. Lineage: Eukaryota; Fungi; Ascomycota; Sordariomycetes; Magnaporthales; Pyriculariaceae.